UACGGAGGAUGCGAGCGUUAUCCGGAAUGAUUGGGCGUAAAGGGUGCGCAGGCGGUCCUGCAAGUCUGGAGUGAAACGUAUGAGCUCAACUCAUGCAUGGCUCUGGAAACUGGAGGACUGGAGAGCAGGAGAGGGCGGUGGAACUCCAUGUGUAGCGGUAAAAUGCGUAGAUAUCAGGAGGAACACCAGUGGCGAAGGCGGCUUACUGGACUGUAACUGACGUUGAGGCUCGAAAGCGUGGGGAGCAAACAGG
RNAcentral lists this ribosomal RNA (253 nucleotides) under uncultured Allobaculum sp. RNAcentral describes it as "partial 16S ribosomal RNA". It matches the Rfam family "Bacterial small subunit ribosomal RNA", at positions 524 to 776 of the family's 1533-position model. Lineage: Bacteria; Bacillati; Bacillota; Erysipelotrichia; Erysipelotrichales; Erysipelotrichaceae. The record is from RNAcentral.